RNAcentral lists this ribosomal RNA (441 nucleotides) under uncultured bacterium. RNAcentral describes it as "partial 16S ribosomal RNA". It matches the Rfam family "Bacterial small subunit ribosomal RNA", at positions 338 to 795 of the family's 1533-position model. The record is from RNAcentral.
CCUACGGGAGGCAGCAGUGGGGAAUAUUGCACAAUGGGGGAAACCCUGAUGCAGCCACGCCGCGUGAAGGAAGACGGUUUUCGGAUUGUAAACUUCUGUUCUUAGUGAAGAAUAAUGACGGUAGCUAAGGAGCAAGCCACGGCCAACUACGUGCCAGCAGCCGCGGUAAUACGUAGGUGCCAAGCGUUGUCCGGAUUUACUGGGUUUAAAGGGAGCGCUGGCGGGGAGCAAAGUCAACUGUGAAAACUACGGUCUUAACUUGUCGACUGCAGUUGAAACUGGCUUUCUGGAGUGAAGUAGAGGUUGGCGGAAUUCGGAGUGUAGCGGUGAAAUGCGUAGAUAUUCGGAAGAACACCGGUUGCGAAGGCGGCCAACUGGGCUUUAACUGACGCUGAGGCUCGAAAGUGUGGGUAGCAAACAGGAUUAGAUACCCGUGUAGUC